GCCGCCGCCGCCGCCGCCACUGCCGCUCCUCUCAGGCGCCGUUCUCCCCGUCGUCAUGGUGCUCCCCAACGACAUCGAUCUGCUCAAUCCCCCGGCCGACCUUGAGAAGAGGAGGCACAAGCUUAAGCGCCUCGUGCAGUCUCCGAACUCCUUCUUCAUGGAUGUUAAGUGUCAAGGAUGCUUCAACAUAACGACUGUGUUCAGCCACUCGCAGACUGUGGUGGUCUGCGGCAACUGCCAGACUGUGCUGUGCCAGCCCACCGGCGGACGUGCAAAGCUCACUGAGGGAUGCUCUUUCAGGCGGAAGAACGAUUGAGGGUGGUGGGUUGUCGCUACACUCUAUUAAUGCUAUUUGAGUCAGGAUAAAACCGUUUGGAGGUUUUAUGUCUUAGGAUGUUGAACUAUUUGGUAUAAGACUGGUAUUUUUGUUGGAUGCACUUUGGGCAUGCUAAGGCUUUAUGGUCUUUGGGUAGCUUCUGGUUUGGUUUAGUUUGCUUGGUUAAAGUUUUGUUGCUGGUACUAUGU
RNAcentral lists this unclassified non-coding RNA (525 nucleotides) under Hevea brasiliensis (rubber tree). The record is from RNAcentral. Lineage: Eukaryota; Viridiplantae; Streptophyta; Magnoliopsida; Malpighiales; Euphorbiaceae.